Long non-coding RNA from Phasianus colchicus (ring-necked pheasant), 1711 nucleotides. The record is from Ensembl. Lineage: Eukaryota; Metazoa; Chordata; Aves; Galliformes; Phasianidae.
GCAUGAUGUUGGUGUCCUCUUCUGUGUUCACUAUUCUGUCAACUUGAAUUUCAGAAGAUGAUAACCACGAAAGUGAAUGAACUCUUUAGCUUAAAGACAACUAACUCAUGCCCAUAUAGACUUCUAAGGAGUAAAACAAAUGAAUAUCAGAGAGAACAUAAAACCCAUAUCGAUGAACUUCAAGUAAAAAGUAUUCUAUUUUUGGGGGGUGAUGGGAGAGUAUAAAACCACAAAAAUAUGCAAUUAAGGUAAUAAGUGAACAUAAACGUUUCCAGGCAUUUGUCACCCCUAAUAAUGAAUGGAACAAUGUAGGUGCUGAAUUCCUGUAUGUGAGUUGCUUUAAAAGAAGCUCAGGUUCAAAUUUGGUUGUCCUGAAAUAGGUUUUUCUUGUUUUAUUAUAUUCCAGUGUGACAUUUCAGAGUUGGGAAGAUCAAGAGCAAAUCUUUACUGGAUUGGUUCAAGUGCGAUAUGAUUCUACAGCUCAUUGAACUUACUGCUAUUUUUUCUAGUGCCACUGGAGUAAGUGAUAUUACUCAUCUGAGUAAAGGCUGUGUGAUGAAGCUUAACAAGAAGAAAGGUCUGGAAAGCUGUACCUUGCAUAGACCACUGAUGGUCUAUGAAUCUUCAGGAAGAGAGGAAGGGAUUAGCUCAUUGAUUGUAUACUGCUUUCACAGAGGAGCUGAUUGUGCCCAAGGGCAGAUGAACAGAUGCUUCCUGUAACGCUGACUUAGUUUCCCGGACAUCCAGCCUUUAGCUCCUUCUAAGACUGAACUCUGCAAAAGAAGAACCCUGGGUUUCCUCUGGGCUGUCCUGGCAGGUUUCUUGGAGAGUUUCCAUGGGACUAUGUGUGGAAUUCUUUGCAGGAUGGGAUAACUGAAAUAUUAGGAGGCAUGAUUUAUGGGCUUUCAAACAAAGUCUGGUCCUUAAACCUCUCUCUAAGUGAAAAUAUUUCUAAAUCUUUUUUUUUUUUUUUUUUUUUUUUUUGUACUUGCAAUUUUUGGACUCUUCGCUUCUGAAAUCCUCAAUCCUCUCUCCUCCUCAGAUAGUGCAAGAAAUAUCUUUCCAAUGGAGCAAUCUGAGAUUCUUUCACUCGAAGGAGAAACAAAAUGUAAUCACAAAAAGUCUUUGAAAUUUUGAGAAUGAUGUUUUAGGCAAUGAAAAAAUUUUUCAGAUACUCUGUUUUACUUUGUGAAUUUAGCACAACCUGCUAAAAGGUUGUACAUAACACAAAGAACUCAAAGUAUCUUUCUUUCCCCCUGGAUAGCAACAACAACAAACAUUUGGAAAAAAAAUUGGAAAACCAAGGUAAAACCAAUCCUAGUUGGCAAAUCUUGUCUAUUAAAGUGAAAUACUACAAUGGAAAUCAAUGUGGCAUGAUUCCAGGACUGGUAUUAGUUUUUCCUCUUUAAAACAAACAGAUCAUCAUGAAGUUUGGACAAGUGAAAUGUCACACAGUUGUGGCUUUUCCAUUUCAAGAACACAUAGUAGUGUGCAAUACAGUGCAAAGUUUUCUGAAUUAUUUAUUCUUUUAGGUUUGGGCCUUCAUCCAAAACACCUCAGGCCAAAUCCAUAUUUGCUAUGACUCAAUUUACUUUAUUUUGGAUGCACCAGAGAAAGAUUAAACAUCAGGUGGCAACAAACUAAAGUACAAAAUCCUGGAACAGAGUCAGGUGUUAAGAAAAUAAAUAGGUAUUGUGCUGCCUUUUGUUCA